This 253-nucleotide ribosomal RNA is filed under the name uncultured bacterium. RNAcentral describes it as "partial 16S ribosomal RNA". It matches the Rfam family "Bacterial small subunit ribosomal RNA", at positions 524 to 776 of the family's 1533-position model. The record is from RNAcentral.
UACGCAGGGUGCAAGCGUUAAUCGGAUUUACUGGGCGUAAAGCGUGCGCGGGCGGUUCGGAAAGAAAGAUGUGAAAUCCCAGAGCUUAACUUUGGAACUGCAUUUUUAACUACCGGGCUAGAGUGUGUCAGAGGGAGGUGGUAUUCCGCGUGUAGCAGUGAAAUGCGUAGAUAUGCGGAGGAACACCGAUGGCGAAGGCAGCCUCCUGGGAUAACACUGAUGCUCAUGCACGAAAGCGCGGGGAGCAAACAGG